AGCGCAGGCGGACCGGCAAGUUGGAAGUGAAAACUAUGGGCUCAACCCAUAAAUUGCUUUCAAAACUGCUGGCCUUGAGUAGUGCAGAGGUAGGUGGAAUUCCCGGUGUAGCGGUGGAAUGCGUAGAUAUCGGGAGGAAUACCAGUGGCGAAGGCGGUCUACUGGGCACCAACUGACGCUGAGGCUCGAAAGCAUGGGUAGCAAACA
This 207-nucleotide ribosomal RNA is filed under the name uncultured bacterium. RNAcentral describes it as "partial 16S ribosomal RNA". It matches the Rfam family "Bacterial small subunit ribosomal RNA", at positions 568 to 774 of the family's 1533-position model. The record is from RNAcentral.